GUAGUACUCCCUCCGUUUCCGAAUUAUUUGUCUUAGAUUUAUCUAGAUACGGAAAUAUUUAACACUAAAAUAAAUCUAGAUACGUCCGUAUCUAGACAAAUCCAAGACAAACAAUUUGGAACGAAGGGAGAACGUA
Non-coding RNA from Triticum aestivum (bread wheat), 136 nucleotides. The record is from Rfam. NCBI's taxonomy places the organism in Eukaryota, Viridiplantae, Streptophyta, Magnoliopsida, Poales, Poaceae.